GUGGAUUAGAUACCCUGGUAGUCCAUGCCGUAAACGAUGUCAACUAGGUGUUGGGGAACUUGAUUCCUUAGUGCCGCAGCUAACGCAUUAAGUUGACCGCCUGGGGAGUACGGUCGCAAGACUAAAACUCAAAUGAAUUGACGGGGGCCCGCACAAGCGGUGGAGCAUGUGGUUUAAUUCGAUGCAACGCGAAGAACCUUACCUACUCUUGACAUCCAGAGAAUCCUGUAGAGAUACGGGAGUGCCUUCGGGAAUUCUGAGACAGGUGCUGCACGGUCGUCGUCAGCU
Molecule: ribosomal RNA, 288 nt
Filed under: uncultured bacterium
Lineage: Bacteria
Description: partial 16S ribosomal RNA
Rfam family: Bacterial small subunit ribosomal RNA
Source: RNAcentral